RNAcentral lists this ribosomal RNA (1498 nucleotides) under uncultured bacterium. Its description in RNAcentral is "bacterial SSU rRNA". It matches the Rfam family "Bacterial small subunit ribosomal RNA". The record is from RNAcentral.
GAUGAACGCUGGCGGCGUGCCUAACACAUGCAAGUCGAACGAGAAGCUAACCUCUGAUUCCUUCGGGAUGAUGAGGUUGGCAGAAAGUGGCGAACGGGUGAGUAACGCGUGGGUAAUCUACCCUGUUUUAGUGGGGGAUAACCCUCCGAAAGGAGGGCUAAUACCGCAUAAUAUCUUUAUCCCAUAAAGAGGUAAAGAUUAAAGAUGGCCUCUAUACUAUGCUAUCGCUUCAGGAUGAGCCUGCGUCCUAUUAGCUAGUUGGUGGGGUAAUGGCCUACCAAGACCACGAUGGGUAGCCGGUCUGAGAGGAUGUACGGCCACACUGGGACUGAGAUACGGCCCAGACUCCUACGGGAGGCAGCAGUGGGGAAUAUUGCGCAAUGGGGGAAACCCUGACGCAGCGGCGCCGCGUGGAUGAUGAAGGCCCUCGGGUUGUAAAAUCCUGUUCUGGGGGAAGAAAGCUUAAGGGUCCAAUAAACCCUUAAGCCUGACGGUACCCCAAGAGAAAGCUCCGGCUAAUUAUGUGCCAGCAGCCGCGGUAAUACAUAAGGAGCAAGCGUUAUCCGGAAUUAUUGGGCGUAAAGAGCUCGUAGGCGGUCACUUAAGUCGAAUUUAAAAGACCGUGGCUUAACUGCGGUUCUGGAUUUGAUACUGGGUUACUUUGAGAAUAACAGGGGCAAGUGGAACUUCCGGUGUAGCAGUGAAAUGCGUUGAUAUCGGAAAGAACACCAAUGGCGAAGGCAGCUUGCUAGGUUAUCUCUGACACUGAGAUGCGAAAGCGUGGGGAGCGAACGGGAUUAGAUACCCCGGUAGUCCACGCCGUAAACGAUGCAGACUAGCUAUCAGAAGUAUCGACCCUUCUUGUAGCGAAGCUAACGCGUUAAGUCUGCCGCCUGGGGAGUACGGCCGCAAGGCUAAAACUCAAAGGAAUUGACGGGGACUCGCACAAGCGGUGGAGCAUGUGGUUUAAUUCGACAAUAAGCGAAGAACCUUACCAGGGCUUGACAUCUAGAGAACCUGUUGGAAACAGUGGGGUGCCCUUUAGGGAGCUCUAAGACAGGUGCUGCACGGCUGUCGUCAGCUCGUGCUGUAAAGUGUGGCCUUAAGUGGUCAAACGAGCGAAACCUGUAUCCUGUGUUAUUUUUCACAGGAGACUGCCGUAGUUUAUACGGAGGAAGGUGCAGACGACGUCAAGUCAGCGUGGCUCUUACGCCCUGGGCAACACACGUGCUACAAUGGCAGAAAUAAAGAGUUGCGAGAUCGCAAGAUUAAGCUAAUCUCUCAAAAACUGCCUCAGUACGGAUUGAGGUCUGCAAUUCGACCUCAUGAAGAUGGAAUCGCUAGUAAUCGUGGGUCAGCAUACCACGGUGGAUACGUUCUCGAGUCUUGUACACACCGCCCGUCAAGUGAGCCGAGUCGGCGGGGCCCGAAACCCGCACCAGAGCCCAGACAUGGAACACGGAUGAAUAAUCCGAGUGGAAUAUUCUGGGCUGCGGUG